RNAcentral lists this ribosomal RNA (774 nucleotides) under uncultured Neocallimastigales. RNAcentral describes it as "partial large subunit ribosomal RNA". It matches the Rfam family "Eukaryotic large subunit ribosomal RNA", at positions 23 to 621 of the family's 3401-position model. The record is from RNAcentral. Lineage: Eukaryota; Fungi; Neocallimastigomycota; Neocallimastigomycetes; Neocallimastigales.
GAGACUCUGUGCGCGUGCAUAUCAAUAAGCGGAGGAAAAGAAACUAACAAGGAUUCCCUUAGUAACGGCGAGUGAAGCGGGAAGAGCUCAAAUUUGAAAUCUUCAAGGUUUUACCUUGACGAAUUGUAGUUUAAAGAAGUGUUUUCUGUUGAAGUUUUGGUAAAAGUUCUUUGGAAUAGGACAUCAUAGAGGGUGAGAAUCCCGUAUUUGACCAUUAUUUUCAGCUGUGUGAUACACUUUCAAAGAGUCGGAUUGUUUGGGAAUGCAGUCCAAAAUGGGUGGUAAAUUUCAUCUAAAGCUAAAUAUUGGCGAGAGACCGAUAGCGAACAAGUACCGUGAGGGAAAGAUGAAAAGAACUUUGAAAAGAGAGUUAAACAGUACGUGAAAUUGUCAAAAGGGAAGCGUUUGACACCAGUGUUGUUUUCUCGAAAAUCAAUUAAAAAAGGCCGGAUUUUGUGUUGUAUUGACCUUAAAAGCUUUCUUCACUUUUUUCAUGUCUUUUUUAAUGCACUUUUCGUUUAACAAGUCAACAUCAGUUUCUUUUGUUGUAAAAGGGUCAUUGGAAGGUGGCUUUCUUUUCGGAGAAAGUGUUUAUAGCCUUUGGCUUCUGCAAUCGGAGAGAUUGAGGUCUGCAGCGUAGAUCCUUCGGGGUUAGAUACGUUUGUGCUAAGUUAUAGCUUUUCAUAGACAACUUGUUGACUAUGUUUAGUCUUGUAGCUUACUCGCUUACGCUAUUUUACCUACGCUUAGGAUGUUGAACUCUAUCACACACAG